RNAcentral lists this ribosomal RNA (496 nucleotides) under uncultured bacterium. RNAcentral describes it as "partial 16S ribosomal RNA". It matches the Rfam family "Bacterial small subunit ribosomal RNA", at positions 30 to 523 of the family's 1533-position model. The record is from RNAcentral.
AUUGAACGCUGGCGGAAUGCUUUACACAUGCAAGUCGAACGGUAGAGGGGGCAACCCCUCGAGAGUGGCGAACGGGUGAGUAAUAUAUCGGAACGUGCCCAGUCGUGGGGGAUAACGUAGCGCAAGUUACGCUAAUACCGCAUACGAUCUAAGGAUGAAAGCGGGGGAUCGCAAGACCUCGCGCGAUUGGAGCGGCCGAUAUCAGAUUAGGUAGUUGGGGGGGUAAAGGCUCACCAAGCCAACGAUCUGUAGCUGGUCUGAGAGGACGACCAGCCACACUGGAACUGAGACACGGUCCAGACUCCUACGGGAGGCAGCAGUGGGGAAUUUUGGACAAUGGACGCAAGUGUGAUCCAGCCAUUCCGCGUGCAGGAUGAAGGCCCUCGGGUUGUAAACUGCUUUUGUACGGAACGAAAAGGUCUCUCUUAAUACGGGGGGCUCAUGACGGUACCGUAAGAAUAAGCACCGGCUAACUACGUGCCAGCCGCCGCGGUAA